UGGAAUUUAAUACAUUCUAAGAAUGAUUCUACGAUCAAGUGUGUUUCAUAACAAGAUAAAUUUUGUUGAAAUCACUUUUAACUUUGUACCAUGCAAGGCAAAGGUAAAGAUGAUAUAAUUAGUUAAGCAUUUUGUUGAGUAAGUGGAGGGAGCAACAAUGGUUUCUUUGAAGCAUUUCAUCGAACGAGUGGAGGGAGCUCCGUGAGGGGCAUUGUAGGCACAAGUCUGAAUCGUGGUGUUCUAGAGAAGGGGCAGCGGCAAGAAAAAGGAGAAAAAGAACUUGGCAUAAUCGAUGAUCGAAUUCGAUGAGAGGGUCGAAAAUUGAGAAAAAAAAAUUUAUGAGAGAAAAAAGAACUAACGAGUUAAGGGGGAGAGAAACAGCUCAAGCGGAAGAAAUUUCAACUAUACGGAAUCGAUCCUUUUUUUUUUUUAGUUUGGGCAGAUUCUUAAUUAAAACCCAUUAAUAGGAUAAUAGAACUAAAAGAUAUAUGAC
Molecule: long non-coding RNA, 493 nt
Filed under: Musa acuminata (dwarf banana)
Lineage: Eukaryota; Viridiplantae; Streptophyta; Magnoliopsida; Zingiberales; Musaceae
Description: long non-coding RNA (MACU_LNC008503)
Source: RNAcentral